AGAGGCGAUGAAGGGCGUGCUAAUCUGCGAUAAGCGCCGGUAAGGUGAUAUGAACCGUUAUAACCGGCGAUACCCGAAUGGGGAAACCCAGUGUGACUCGUCACACUAUCAUUAACUGAAUCCAUAGGUUAAUGAGGCGAACCGGGGGAACUGAAACAUCUAAGUACCCCGAGGAAAAGAAAUCAACCGAGAUUCCCCCAGUAGCGGCGAGCGAACGGGGAGGAGCCCAGAGCCUGAAUCAGCAUGUGUGUUAGUGGAAGCGUCUGGAAAGGCGCGCGAUACAGGGUGACAGCCCCGUACACAAAAGCGCAUGUGCUGUGAGCUCGAUGAGUAGGGCGGGACACGUGGUAUCCUGUCUGAAUAUGGGGGGACCAUCCUCCAAGGCUAAAUACUCCUGACUGACCGAUAGUGAACCAGUACCGUGAGGGAAAGGCGAAAAGAACCCCGGCGAGGGGAGUGAAAAAGAACCUGAAACCGUGUACGUACAAGCAGUGGGAGCACCCUUUGGGUGUGACUG
Molecule: ribosomal RNA, 517 nt
Filed under: Salmonella enterica subsp. enterica serovar Enteritidis
Lineage: Bacteria; Pseudomonadati; Pseudomonadota; Gammaproteobacteria; Enterobacterales; Enterobacteriaceae
Description: partial 23S ribosomal RNA
Rfam family: Bacterial large subunit ribosomal RNA
Source: RNAcentral